This 481-nucleotide ribosomal RNA is filed under the name uncultured bacterium. Its description in RNAcentral is "partial 16S ribosomal RNA". It matches the Rfam family "Bacterial small subunit ribosomal RNA", at positions 28 to 507 of the family's 1533-position model. The record is from RNAcentral.
GACGAACGUUGGCGGCGUGCUUAAUACAUGCAAGUCAACUGAAGCAGUGGUAGCAAUAUCGCUGUGGAGGUGGCGCACGGGUGAGUAACACGUAGGUAAUCUGCCUUCAGGUCUGGCAUAACUCCGGGAAACCGGGGCUAAUAGCAGAUGAUGCAGCGGCUCGACGUCGAGACAGUUGUUAAAGCUAUGGCGCCUGAAGAUGAGCCUGCGUCUGAUUAGCUAGUUGGCGGGGUAACGGCCCACCAAGGCAACGAUCAGUAGCUGGUCUGGUAGGAUGAUCGGCCACACUGGAACUGAGACACGGACCAGACUCCGGCGGGAGGCAGCAGUAAGGAAAAUUGCGCAAUGGGAGAAAUCCUGAAGCAGCAACGCCGCGUGAGGGACGAAGGGCUUUUGCUUGUAAACCGCUGUAGUGAGAGAAAAAAAUCCCAAUCAUUGGGACAUGAUGGUAUCUCAAAAGUAAGCCCCGGCUAACUACGUG